RNAcentral lists this ribosomal RNA (477 nucleotides) under uncultured archaeon. RNAcentral describes it as "partial 16S ribosomal RNA". The record is from RNAcentral.
UUAAGCUGCCAGAUUUCUUAAGAGACUUAUCCGGCCGGCUACAGACCCUUUAGACCCAAUAAUAACGGUUACCACUCGAGCCGCCGGUGUUACCGCGGCGGCUGGCACCGGUCUUGCCCGGCCCUUGCUAUGAAAUGCUUUUUAGGCAUCUCGACAGCCAGAUUUGUAACCUGGCACUCGAGGUUCCCUUAUCGCUGUUGCCAGCAUUGUAAAGUUUUCGCGCCUGCUGCACCCCGUAGGGCCUGGAUUCGUGUCUCAGAAUCCAUCUCCGGGCUCUUGCUCUCACAACCCGUACCCGUCGUAGGCUAGUAGGUACGCUACACCCACUACUACCUGAUAGGCCGCAGACCCAUCCUUAGGCGCCGGAGCUUUAAAUCUCGAUGCAUUCCAGCAAUCGAGACCUAUCGGGUAUUAUACCCAGUUUCCCGGGUUUAUCCCCGUCCUAAGGGCAGGUUGUCCACGUGUUACUGAGCAGUU